Molecule: ribosomal RNA, 292 nt
Filed under: uncultured eukaryote
Lineage: Eukaryota
Description: partial 18S ribosomal RNA
Rfam family: Eukaryotic small subunit ribosomal RNA
Source: RNAcentral
GGUUGAUCCUGCCAGUAGUCAUAUGCUUGUCCCAAAGAUUAAGCCAUGCAUGUGUGAGUACAACCAAGUAACUGGUGAAACUGCGGACGGCUCAUUAAAUCAGUGAUAAUUUGCAUGGAGAUGGUGAAUACCAGUGGAUAACCGUGGUAAUUCUAUGGCUAAUACAUGACAAGAGCAUUUAUUAGAUACGACCAGACACAUAAAUUCAUUUAUGCUCAAGGGGACUCAUAGUAACUGGCAGAUCGUGGCGCGAGCCGCGACGCUCCAUAGAAAUUUCUGCCCUAUCAACUUU